GCAUAUCAAUAAGCGGAGGAAAAGAAACCAACAGGGAUUGCCCUAGUAACGGCGAGUGAAGCGGCAACAGCUCAAAUUUGAAAUCUGGCUCUCGGGCCCGAGUUGUAAUUUGUAGAGGAUGCUUUUGAUGCGGUGCCUUCCGAGUUCCCUGGAACGGGACGCCAUAGAGGGUGAGAGCCCCCGUCUGGUUGGAUGCCAAAUCUCUGUAAAGCUCCUUCGACGAGUCGAGUAGUUUGGGAAUGCUGCUCUAAAUGGGAGGUAUAUGUCUUCUAAAGCUAAAUACCGGCCAGAGACCGAUAGCGCACAAGUAGAGUGAUCGAAAGAUGAAAAGCACUUUGAAAAGAGAGUUAAAAAGUACGUGAAAUUGUUGAAAGGGAAGCGUUUAUGACCAGACUUGGGCUUGGAUAAUCAUCUGGGGUUCUCUCCAGUGCACUUUUCCAGUCCAGGCCAGCAUCAGUUUUCGCCGGGGGAUAAAGGCUUCGGGAAUGUGGCUCUCUCCGGGGAGUGUUAUAGCCCGUUGCGUAAUACCCUGGCGGGGACUGAGGUUCGCGCAUCUGCAAGGAUGCUGGCGUAAUGGUCAUCAACGACCCGUCUUGAAACACGGACCAAGGAGUCGUCUUCGUAUGCGAGUGUUCGGGUGUCAAACCCCUACGCGUAAUGAAAGUGAACGCAGGUGAGAGCUUCGGCGCAUCAUCGACCGAUCCUGAUGUUCUCGGAUGGAUUUGAGUAAGAGCAUACGGGGCCGGACCCGAAAGAAGGUGAACUAUGCCUGUGUAGGGUGAAGCCAGAGGAAACUCUGGUGGAGGCUCGCAGCGGUUCUGACGUGCAAAUCGAUCGUCAAACAUGGGCAUGGGGGGCGAAAGACUAAUCGAAUCUUCUAGUAGCUGGUUUCUGCCGAG
RNAcentral lists this ribosomal RNA (899 nucleotides) under Fusarium incarnatum. RNAcentral describes it as "LSU rRNA". It matches the Rfam family "Eukaryotic large subunit ribosomal RNA", at positions 38 to 965 of the family's 3401-position model. The record is from RNAcentral. Lineage: Eukaryota; Fungi; Ascomycota; Sordariomycetes; Hypocreales; Nectriaceae.